This 33830-nucleotide long non-coding RNA is filed under the name Capsicum annuum. RNAcentral's name for it is "long non-coding RNA (CANN_LNC003940)". The record is from RNAcentral. Lineage: Eukaryota; Viridiplantae; Streptophyta; Magnoliopsida; Solanales; Solanaceae.
ACUUUCUUGCCUUUAGAAUUAGUGUUGGAAAACUUAAAAUCAUUAGGAUAACCAAAAAUCUUAUAGCAUUUCUCAAUAACAUGUUCACUCCGCUUGCAGUACUUACAAAAUAAGGAGGAUCUGUCCUGAUCGAAAUUGAUUCUUUGAGCAUAAGGUGUAGGAGGAUGGGCAUUGUGAGGUUUGUGAAGAACUGGGUAAUUGAUGUGGGAUUUAGUGGCAGGUGGUCUUUUAUCAUAGGAAACAUUGAAAGAGACAUAUUCAUUUGAGAAUUGAGAAGGAAAGACUAUCUGUUUUUGCCUUUGAUCUUGCAACAAGAUGUUGUAAACAGAAUCAAGUGAAGAAAAAGGUUGCAGCAUGAGGAGAUUACUCAUUACCCCGAUAUAAGCCUCAUUCAGGCCCAUGAGGAAUUGAUACACCUUAUUUUCCUCCUCUUUCUUUUAAAGACCAGAUUUUGCCGCACAAGUACAGGUGUUAAUGUGAGAUGUGGAAAUAAACCUAAGUUCAUCCCAUAACCUUUUGAGUUUGUUAAAGUAAGAUGCAAUGUCUAGUGACCCUUGACUAGUGGAUGCCAAUUCUUUCUUCAACUCAAACACUUUAGUGACACUAACCGACCCAUAUCUUUUGUUCAAUUGAGACCAUAUACUUUCAGCGGUGUCAGAAUAUUGAACACUUUUGGCUAUUUCUGGAGAUAAGAAACUGGUUAGCCAAGAUAUGGCCAUGUUGUUACACCUAUCCCAACCCUAGCACGAGAUGUGCCCUCAGCAGGUCUAGUGUAAGCACCAUCGAUAAAACCUAUCUUAUUUCUAGUAGACAGAGAAACAAUCAUGUUCCUUCUCCAACCCCCAAAAACAGUUCCAAAGAAGGGUAAACUAACUAGAGAGAUACCGGGAACAUCAGAAGAAGAGAGGUACAACGGGUCAGAGUAGUCAUAGCGGCGGAAGUCGAAGCACCAGAUAAAUUAUUUGUGUUCACCAUGAUAAGUCAAACCAGCUAUGUAAGUAUAGGGUAAUCAAGCUCAACAAUCACAAUUUAAACAAGAUGAUUUCAAUUUGGUCACAAUCCAACAAUCACAGACCACCAAAAUAACAUAAAUCGAAGAAAUCGAAGAAAGAAAAAUUACCCCCCAUUUUUGUAACCGAAAAAUGGUAUCGGCCUUGUUAUGGAAAGAAAGGUCCAGUGAAAACCAAAAAAUCAACCUCAAUAGCUCACCGAAACUCAGCGGAGGUCAAAUCCGAUCAAAUAAAAAAUCACCGGCGAGCUGAAAACACGCCGUUCAAGUCUACGAGGGUACCAUCGGAGGCCGUACAAUCACAUGGAGAACUUGGAUCUACGCUCUGAUACCAUGUAAAAGCAUUGAAACCAUGCUGAAAAAGUAAGCUUCAGAGAGAAGCUUCCAGAGAGAAUGAGAUCAGCAAAGAGAAGAAAAACUUUUCUUAGAAAAAUAUAUGGAUCCUCUUUCAGGACCUGUGUUCUUUUCUUUUUGUACAAGUAUAUGAGCUCAACAUGAAAUGGGCCUACGAAAUAUUUAUUUAUAGUUGGGAUAAACAGAAAUAUGAAAUACAACAUAUGAAAUAAUCAUGUACACGUAGAUGUAACGUCAACAGCGGAAUCGAGCUCUACCCUCUCCUAUUGGAUAUCACCUAUUGCACCAACUCAACCACCCUUAUGAUGGGUUCUAAAUUUAGUAUAUGUAAAAUUCAAUAUUAGAGGAUUGCUUUCAUAUGAUGAGAAUCAUUGGUUUAAAUUCAGUAGAAGAUAACAUCAAUCGAGAUAUCUAUUUUUGUCAACAUGACAUCAAAUACGAACUAACAAUAAAGAGUUAAUUGAAUGAUCAAAACAUUAAUUUCUUUCACGUAUGAUCUUUUUUGACCGCUUUGACAGCUUAAUAUCAAAGAAUUCUCCCUAUUCCAUCUGUAGGUGAAGACCUGCAGAGUUUGAAAGUGAAAAAAAUCCCAAUAGAAGGUUGGGAAACAGAAUCAAAUAAAGAUAAAUAAAUAUAAUUAACUAUAACUUUCUCCGUUUAUAUCAGUUGGUCAUUUCUUUUAUUAAGAAAUCAUAAAUAAAAGGUAUUUUUAUUAAUUCACUCCUUGAAGAAUUUUUGAAAAAGAGAUAAUACUCAUAAAAAUAUCUGAACUUUGACCGGAUUUUCAGUUGAGCAUUAUCUGCCCACUUGGACACAUGUAAAUACACAUGUAAAAACAAAAUUGGUGUGUGUAUUGCACCGCCAGCCGCCGAAACUGGGUAUAGAAUUUCAGGGGGGGAAUUAAAUCCACUUUGAAAAGUCUAGGGGGUAAUAGGACUCCCGCAAAGUUCAGUAUGCUCAACUGGAAAUCUGAUCAAAGUUCAGAUAUUUUUGUGAGUAUUAUCCCUUUGAAAAACUUUACAAACAAGUGCGAACACUUUCGAAAAAAAUUAAUUGCAAGGGUAAUAUGAGAAAAUUUUAAUUAAUACUUUCUUGAUUUUGUAAGAUAGACAGCUAAUAUGGGAUAAUUAUUUUUAGUAAGACGACCAACUAAUACGGGAGGGAGUACUCCCUCAGUUGCUUUAGUAGUCGUUCUAACAAAAACUAGAUUUCCCUUAUAAAUACUUUGUCGUUUCAUAAAAAUCAAGAUAUAAUUACUUGUUCCUUUCAUCUUUACCCUUAGUCAUAAAUAUGAAUAGAUAUCAAUAUAGUGCAAAAAGGAGAAAUAUUAAAUAAGAAUACUACUACCCCCAUUCCAUUUUACUCGUCCCAAAUUUUUUAAUUUUACUUGUCAUUUUUCAUUAAUUAAGACAAGACAAUUUUUUUUCUUUUUUACCCUUAAUAUUAAUUAUUUUUUCUCCAAAUUAAAAUGUAAACAUCAUUUAAUAGGGGUAUUAGGUAAAUUCUUGUUAUUAAUUGUUUUUCUUAACCAAUAUGCAAUGUCAAAUUGGGGCGAGUAAAAUGACGGAGAAAGUAAUAAAUAAGGAUAAUAUAGUUUAGCAUGUAAUUAAUAUUUUUAGAGUUGAAAACAAAAAUCGUAAAAACUAUUAAGAAAUGGAGGAUUACUUCAGGAAUAUUAUUUGGAAUUGGAGAGACGUUUUAAUUUUCACUACUUAAUCAAUUAUCGUUGUAUUACUUAUAGAAAGUAGUAAAAGAAAAUUAAACAAAAUCCAGGAAAAGAAAAAAUAUAAAUAGAUGCAAUCACAAAGAUGAGAUAUAUUAAUAAGUUUAUUUCCAAAAUAUCUGCUAUCUGCAUAAUUUACGCAGUUAUUGUUCGACCCCUUGAACCUACUUGUUCACACUGAAGCACUACUUAAUUAAGCAAUAAAAAGAAAAAAAUUUAACUCGAGAAAUAACAAAUAAUGACCCAAAUUGGUAUCAUGCAUUAAAACCCAUACCACACAAGCAAAAUUAAUAAGUUCUUGCUAUCUAUAUUUUGCUGAACCAAUAAUUUUCUAUCCAAAAAAAUACUUUCUAAAUGCAGUCCAAUUAAUUAGUUCCCACCUAAAUUCGACCAAAUUCAUAAUCUUGAUAUUUACUAAUAAAGUAAAAUCAACAAAAUAUUAAUUAUUUUUACUUAUCUACUAUGUUUGGUAAUUAAGUUGCCCACCAUCCUAAAUCCUAUUUUGAGACAUGUAUACAAUUUUGUGACAAAAGACUAUCUAAUAGUCAACAUUAAUAUCUCUUUCAACAAGAAUCAACAUAAAUUUUUAACUUGCAAAAAUUUUUUCCUGAUAAUCGCGGAGAGCAUUCACUAAAAUUUUUUAUAUAAGAAAAAGAAAGGAGCUUCAUGCUAGUCACUUAGAUAUAUGAUUUCUACUUAUUUAUAUUGAGAAUUGCAAAUACUAGCAUUUUCUCACUUCUUUAAUUAAGUUAGUUUGAGGAAAUUCAAAAAAAAGUGCUUGUUUUUGAAGUUACAUUAGUAUUAUUUUUUCUAGCAAAAUGAAGUAUGAUAGUUUCUUUGCCAGGAGUUUUAGUAAGCAUGAGCAAAAGAAAUUAGGAAUUGGAGCAUUUGUUAGUUGUUUCAUCUUAGUAGCCACCUUUUGUAUUCUCUUCAAGCCUGAAUUCGUCAUUUUCGAGUUGGUAAGUUUUUGGAGCUUUUCUUCAUUUAAUUUGCAAAUUAUGCUUUUAUACUGCCGGUAUAUAUAAGUUUAAACUCGUCGUUUGUCAAUAUAUAUAAGUUUAAACUCGUCAUUUCCUUUUUGAAGAGUUGAUUUUCGCCUUGUUUAUAGUCAAACUCUUUUAAGUUUCACCAACAAUCAUCACCUUUUUUUAAGUAAAGAAAAAGACUAUGACUUUCUAUUGAUGUGCCACUUCGUUUUAAUGUUUUGGCAUCUAUAUGCGAUCCUGAAACAUCAAUGUUUAAUGUAAAGGCUAUUGCAAUAACAUUUAAUUUAUAUCAACUCAUAGUAUAAUGAAAUUUUUUCCCAAGUCUGCUUACACCCGCCACCCGGUCUCCCCCUACCCAUUUUGUGGAUCUCACUGGAUAUAUUAUUAUUGUUGAUAGUAUAAUAAAAAUCUUAUAUUAUAGUCGCCUUAUUUUUCACGUUAAUAAUUCCAUCUAGUAUAGAUCGGUAAUUACAUAUAGCUAGUGUAAAUAAUGAUUACAUUGUUGUUAUGUUCUUGUCUCAACAGUGAAUGUUAGGGUAUCUCUUCGUGGUGAUGGUGGUCCUAAAAGUCUAGCAAUAAUAGAGGAAGUUACCAAGCCAAAAAAGCCAUGUAAGUAAUCAAGUUCAUAAUUAGCCUAAAUUUUUUUUGUAAAUGAGCUUAUUAACUUUGUCUAAUUACUUACCAUACAUGUAAUUAUCUUAUUUCAGAUUUUGAAAUAGAACAAGAGAAACAAAUUUGCAAUGUGACACAUCCAAGAGCUGAUCUCUGUGAGAUGAAUGGUGACAUAAGAAUUCAUGGAAAUUCAUAAACAGUAUUUUUUGUUUCAAGUGAUGAUGAAAAGAACAACACAUGGAACAUAAGACCAUAUGCAAGAAAAGGUGACAAUAGAGCAAUGGACAGUGUUACAAACUUAAUAGUCAAAAAAGUUCAUAUUUCUCAAGAAAUCCCAACUUGCACUAGAAAUUAUACUGUCCCUGCCAUAGUUUUUUCAACUAAAGGGUAUGCUGGAAAUCACUUCCAUGAUUUCACUGAUGUGUUGAUUCCAUUAUUCCAAACGUCGCGACGUUUCAAUGGUGAAGUACAAUUUCUGAUUACUAACCAUAUGUCCUGGUGGAUCGACAAGUUCAAACCAUUGCUACAAAGAUUGACAAAGUAUGAGAUUGUUGAUAUUGACAAGAAAAAAGAAGUCCUUUGUUUCCCAAGUAUGACAAUUGGCUUAAAAGCCAAUAAAGAAUUCAGCAUCAACACUUCAGAAUCUUCAUACUCCAUGAUGGACUUCACAAAAUUCUUGAAAAACACUUAUUCCUUGAAGAGAAAAUUUGCGGUGAGACUGAAAAAGAAUAAGCCCCGGCUUCUUAUCAUUUCAAGAAGCAAAACAAGGCGUUUUAUAAACAUACAAGAGCUUGUCACAAUGGCUAGCAGCUUGGGAUUCCAAGUAGUUUUGGAAGAAACAAGUGAAAAUUUGGCUAAUGUUGCGAAAAAAGUGAACUCAUUUGAUGUACUAAUGGGAGUGCAUGGUGCUGGAUUGACUAAUAUGGUUUUUUUGCCAGAAAAUGCAGCUGUUGUACAGAUUGUGGGAUUGGGAAUGGAAUGGAUAUCUAAAGUGGAUUUUGAAAUUCCAGCAAUGGACAUGAACUUGAAGUAUUUGGAUAACAAGAUUAGUGUAAAUGAGAGUUCUUUAAUUCAAAAAUAUCCACUUGAACAUCAGGUUUUAAGGGAUCCACCUGCUAAUGUUAUUACUCCUGAAGAGUGGGUUUCAUAUAGCAAGAUUUAUUUAGAUCAGCAAGAUGUAAAUAUUGAUGUAAAUAGAUUUAGAGGAACUCUCUUGAAAGCAUUAGAGCUUUUGAGGAGUUGAGUUUUUGUUUUUUUUGGUAUUGUCUAUACAAGAAAGGCCUAAAAUAGGAUUAAACUUCAUUCAGUAUAUUCUUGAUUCACUUUCCUUCGAUGUUUUCUUUCUUUGGUUAAAUUUAGAUGAUGCAGUUGAUUCUUUUACUCUUUCUGCUUUUCGUAAAUCCAGAUGGUAUGUUUUUGAAAGUCAAUCCUGUAGCUAAAAAGGGAAAAAGAGACGAAGCGAACUUUGAUAUGAUGUAUAUAAAAGAUUUGCCUAGUGCAUUUACAUCUUGUGUGUAACUUACUAACCAGUCCGCAGGUUUCCUAAGUUCAAAAAGAACUUAUCAGCUUGACAUUUUAGACACACGAUUCUUAAGGUCCUUUGAAUUUCAAUAUUUUUCACCUAAGUUUUGCCAUUUUUAUUUUUUGUAAAUCAGAAUAGCUAUUUGUAGACUUGUUACUUAAUCUCGUAAUUCAGCAUUUAAAAUGUUUUUUCCUGAAACGAGGAGCUUCUUAUUCUUGAUUGGUUUGACGAACUUAGUGCUUUCACUGGUAUAUCCAUUAGUCUAUACUUGCUACCUCAAAAGUUCAUGCAAAUGUUAGAAGCUCAAUAUUUUUGGUUAAAGUAAAAGAAUAUUAGUCUAUACCUGAUUUAAAUUAACAACUUGCAUUUUGUAUAGGAAAAUUUAUGGACGGGAUAUGGACAUUUUUUCUGUGAGGAACUCAAGACACAGAUUAGUAGUUGAAUGUUUCUCGAAUUUCGUAUGAAGAAACAAUCUACAGUAAUGUCUUUUUUUUUUAUGCUGACCAGGAUUUAUACCAUGCAUGUUCUCUACUGAUUUUCACUCACUUCAUUGAUCGCCAGACAACUCAGUGCAAGUAAUAGUCUUACAUUCGACCAUGCUAGGAACAACUAAUUAUCAAGCAGAAAAAGUGCAGCAGUAAAAUUCAUUUGUUAGGUUUGCAACUUUGCUCCCUGCAUAUACCUUCUAAUAAUUAAUCGAAUCCCCUUCUACAACACACAAACAAACACACUAUAAGCAUAUCAAGAUUGUUGUAAAGAGUCGCAGCACAACACUUGUAAAUAAUCUGCACCAAGAAUUACGGAGGACACCAUCAUUGUGAGAUUUAAAAGGCAAAUACAUCCUUUAGACAUAGAAGUCUAUACAUCAUGAUCGUUCAGGAGUCUCGUAAAACAACUUUGUAUUUGGUGCACAACUACUCUCCACUUUCCUCCUACAGAUCUUUUCUCAUAAAUAAUAAUGAAUUAGAAGCUGACUCAUACUACAAGGUAUAAAUAUUAGUGUGUACCUUCUGUAAUCCCGAGACCUAGCUGACUUUUCAGGUCAUUGCACGUCUGCCCGUCCACUUCUCGGUGAAAAAAACUGAUGACUGGGCCAAACCCUUACUUGAGAAUUUGACUAGCCCUUGGGGGCAGGAAUGAUGGAUAGAGANNNNNNNNNNNNNNNNNNNNNNNNNNNNNNNNNNNNNNNNNNNNNNNNNNNNNNNNNNNNNNNNNNNNNNNNNNNNNNNNNNNNNNNNNNNNNNNNNNNNNNNNNNNNNNNNNNNNNNNNNNNNNNNNNNNNNNNNNNNNNNNNNNNNNNNNNNNNNNNNNNNNNNNNNNNNNNNNNNNNNNNNNNNNNNNNNNNNNNNNNNNNNNNNNNNNNNNNNNNNNNNNNNNNNNNNNNNNNNNNNNNNNNNNNNNNNNNNNNNNNNNNNNNNNNNNNNNNNNNNNNNNNNNNNNNNNNNNNNNNNNNNNNNNNNNNNNNNNNNNNNNNNNNNNNNNNNNNNNNNNNNNNNNNNNNNNNNNNNNNNNNNNNNNNNNNNNNNNNNNNNNNNNNNNNNNNNNNNNNNNCAGGAAUGCUGGAUAGAGAACAUAGACAGCAUGGUGGCCAGUGUAAUGAACUUUAACCAAUGUCACCAAAUAGGAAGAUGGCGAAUUGAUUAAUUCCUCCCACGAUGCCAAUACUCAAAUACAGUAGCUCCAGCGAGAUUGUCUGCAACCCGCUCAAAAAAUGAAGGUCCAAUAAGACUCAUUAUAUACAACCUUCAAGCUGCAUCUUCUUCACCAAAGAUCACUCAAUUCUUAUUCAACCAAGAAAAAUGAUGCCAGCAAGAACCUCUUUAUCCGGGACGGUCAGGUUAGUGACCCUUAACUUAUGCACAGUUACCUCCAUUUUGUACUAUGAAGUUGCUUUUUACUCUUGCUUUUCUUCAGAAGUGCUGACAUGUGUUCAACAGCUUUCGAAGAUGACUGGGUCUCACCAGUCAACCACUGCAGAGCUUCAGCAGCUGCAUCUUUUUCAGCUUCCUUCUUACUACUGCUAGGCUGGCCAACAAAAUUUAACCCAUUGAAUAUUACAGUGGCGCGGAACUUACAAUUUGUUAGUUGUGUUAUCUUGUAACUGGGUGAUUGAUGGCCAGCCCGAGCAAGCAAUGUUUGAAGAUGAGACUUUGGAUUCGCACCACCACUGCCCUUAGUUGAAAUGACAUUUUUCUGUAACUCCUUUGCAGACUUCUUGGGGGAUGGUUUACGACCAAAGACAAAUUUGCCUUCACAUUGAUCUUCCGACACCAGCAAUCUAACAGCUUCUAAUAGCUCGCCAUGACUACCUACAUCAAAAUUACGGUCCAAGAGCUGCCAGAAAAAGCAAACAUCAGGAGGGAGAAGAUUUUGUCAUAUGCAUCCACUUGUAAUAUUCUUUCUGAAGAAUGCAUACGAAAUGAGAUGUGUGUGGAAUAGUUACAAACAAUAUCAUCCAUUCACACGGUUUCCAGGAGCAACACUACAGGAGCAGAAUAUAUGGAGAACUCAAAAAGAUGGUCACACAAACAAAGAUGGAAUGAUAUACAUACUUUCUUAUGGACAAGUUCAUUAAGCUCCCUCUUCAAGCUUACAUAAGUAUUUGCCAAUGAGGGGCUCAUGAAAAACUCCAAGUAUCCUCCAAGCAUCAUCAAGUGUCCAUCCUAACAAGAGAAAAAAGAGUUUUAAGGAAACACCAAACACUAAAUCAUACAAAUAAUUGUGGAAUUCAGAAACAUGACAACGUUAUCUCUAGAAAACCACAAAGAAACCAACCUCGUCCCUGCUGGCGGGGGAGCUGGGACUGGAGUAUGUAGAGUCAGAAGAAAGAAAAACUUACUAGAGCUUUUCCAGAAAUGCUUCCGCCAAAUAAGAGUACCACAGAAUCAGAUAUAGCCGUAGAAUCACGCAAGAAUACUGCAUUCACUUUUACUUUUUCGUUGAAGACAAGCCAUGGAUACGGAAUUUGAGGUUCUUGAGCAUUGACAGAGUUCUAAGGGGGAAAAAAGGAAAAGCACUAUUAGAAGAAUUGAAACUUUCUACCAAAAAAUUAUAUGAAAUGUUUCAAAAUUAAAAUAAAACUAAUUAUACUAUGAAGCUUACAGAGUACAAAAGGACUCCACCAUCCUCCAUUGUUUUCAGUGAGAUUGACUUCUCCUUGUUCUGUCAGUCCAAUAUAUGGCCAGUAAGCACAAACAGAUAUAGAAAUGAACGAUUGACAUGAGAUUUUGAUACACAUAGGAAAACAAAUCUGACAUAGUUCACCACUAAUCAACCUUUUUAUUGAUGAAAUAGAUAGACUAAGAUGGAAGUGCAAACAUGCAUUGCAGUGAGAAAGCGAAAGAGUUCAGCGAUCAGUAUCAUGUACAAGCCAACUUUCACUUCAUGUAAAUACAUAUGAAGUGCUAACCUCAAUGACCAAGAGAAGAAUCAUUAAUCAAAAGAGCAUAACCCACCACAACAGAGCAUAUUCCAGGGAAUAACCCACCACAUACGAUUGCUCGAACCAGAUGUUCAUCAUUACUCCAGGCAUUACAACUCUGAAAGCUAUCAACUAAACCAAUGUCUUUAAGUAGAUACAAAAAUUGUUUCCGAAGGGAGUCCAUUGCUUUGAGAGUUUGUGCAGAAAGGAAAUUUUUCCAACAGUACUCAUAACCAGAUUGUUGCCUUUCAGCGUCCUUCCAGCCGUCAUAAGCCCGAACAAGAGCAAGAUGAUCACUGAAGUCACGAGCAGAAAACUGGGCUUUGGCAGACUCAGCAAGCUGCAAGAAGUGUUAUCGAAUACAUGACACAUGCUCCUAAAGAAAAAGAAACUAAAGCGCAAUUGAGGAUAUAAGGCAAUCAAUGGCUAAUUAAAGGGGUUCAACAAAUGGGAAACAAGAUCUCAGUUCAAACAUUGUUUUUUAAUGGAAGUCUCAAUUAACAAUGCUCCCAAGCACUAGGAUAAUAUAAAGAUCCACGCAACUGAAAAAAUUUUCUACUUGAAAAUUCACUGGACUUGUGGCAAUUCCCGAGACUACUGCAGAAACUCAAAAAAACUACCAAAAUUCACAUUAGUAAGAGCACACUCAGGUCACUUACAUCUUCACAAGUUCUACUGUUCUCUUCUUGUUUCAUUUUAUUUUUUUUGGAUAACAGUGGUGUCCAGGUCAGCUUGGGCGCACCUCAACUAAUUCCAUAGGAUACCUACCACCUACCACCAACAAGUACAAAGUAACUUUAUCCACCAAGGCUAUGACAGAUAGAACAAUCACCUAGUGCUUUUGUCUCUGCUGGGAUCUGAACCAGAAACCUCACGGUUCUCAGCCCAGUUCAUUGACCACUAAGCCACACCCUUGGGUGUCUACUUUUCUCUUUUGGAACCAACCCUCGUCUACCAAAAAUAAUAAAGUAAAAUUGGAAAUAUCAGCCAAAUGUUUCAUAUUUUUGCACAUUCAAAAACUUGUACGCAGAAUAAAUUGUUAGCAUGAUCCAAGUAAUUCAGCAGCAAAGACCCUUAUUCCUAGCACUAACUCUGUUAAAGAAAAUAAGUCCAUUUACAUUUUAACAGUCCCCCAAAACCAACUGGGAAAUGUUGGCAUAAUCCAAAUCCAAUUACUUCAACGACAACCACUAUCCCCUUACAGUAAUGCUGUAAAAGGGAGACAACUGCUAUUUUGCAGUCCCCAAAACUAACUUGGAACAAAUGCAACUAGGACCUGUCAAGCAUAAAUGGAUGUGUCUACAGUGCAACUUUCGAGAUGCAUGAACAUAAAACCUAUUAAAUCUGUUGCUCAUUAAGACAAUGCACCGAGAUUUCUUAAAUAAAGAAAGAGAUAUAUGUGUCAAUGUAAGAAAAUGGCAUAUAUUUAGGCCCUAUUUGAGUCGCUCUAAGAAACAAGAUGGUAAGAUUAGCCAUCUUCAUCCAUAAAUUAGAGAAUAUUAACUUACAUCUUUUUUGUCAAAUGGCAUCAAAAAUGGGUCCCUAGCACUUAAACCAGCAACAACUGUCAGAACUGGAUCCAAGCAGUUGAAUACUACACCUAAUAUUAUCAUUUUCCCCAGUUUUGGCUCAACUGGAAGCAUUGAUAAGUUGUGUCCUACAGGAAAAUCCAGAAAUCAGGUUAUCUUUUCCCAAAAUAACAGUGAAGAAGCCCAAGGAGAAAAUGCAAAUUCAUAUAAUUCAGUAUGCUUUUACCAAGUACAGUCAGAUUUUCUUUCUCAUCUAGAGCCCCUAUAGUCUUCAAAUAGUCGAUAGCAUUUUGAACCUACAAAACAAUGAUAGCGAUUAUAUGAGGAUCAAAUUCACGACAAAACAAACAAGAUAUAUAUCCAUUAAGCAUAAGGUCAGGGAGCAAGAAUUGUCAAAGGAAGAAGUAUACUAGACAAUUUAAAUCCUGGUUUGAUUGAAAGGCAGAUGUUACAUAUUCUUCACCUGAUAGGAUGCACAUAUCUUUACCCGUGUUUUCAUGAACAGAAUGUGAAUUAAGAGAGUUCAAUGAUUUACCAGUCUAAACACAUAGAUGUGAUGUCAUAUGUGCAUAUUAGGUUGUUCGGUGUCACAAGCCAUUGGAAGUAUUGAAAUUUUAGAAAUGGAGUGCUUGCAAGUUCAUCACCUUUAACAUCCCUCCUGAUUAUUUCUCUCCCCAGACAAUUUAAACCAUUUCCUUCCAUUUUACUUACCCUCAUUCUCCACUUUCACUCCUACAAACCACCACAAACAUUCAAGAAACUAGGUGAAAGAGUCGGUCCCAACUUACAGAUAGUGGUUCUGGUGACUGCAUUGCCUUAGAUAGAAAGUCUGAAAUACUUCCCAGUUGCAAGCUUUUAAUCUGCAGACAUAGGGACUGUAAAGGUGUUCUCAGAAGCUCUGGCAGUUGAUAAUCUGCAAACGCUUCAUAUACACAUCUAGGAUAGAGAUGAUAGCACUCCCCAGGUUGAACACGGCCAGCUCUUCCUUUUCUCUGGAAAGUUAAAAGGGCAUUACUUAUGAUGUCGAUUCCACAGCACUAACUGAAUAGCUCAAAAGCACUAAAAAGCUGGGGUGGAGGACCUAUAUCCCGAAUUACAUAAGCUUUUUAAGUAUUGUAAAUGUUGAAGAAAGUAGAUCAUAUCUAUCUUACUUGUCGAGCAGACGCUUUUGAAAUCCAAGAAGGAAGCAAACAUGGAGUAUUGUUGAUUGCAUCAUAAGAUGUCUCUUUUGCCUUUCCACAGUCGACCACAAAAACCACGUCAUUUAUGGUGAUACUUGUUUCAGCCAUAUUGGUAGCUAACACAAUUUUCCUGAUUCCAUCUUCUGGCUUAUCAAAAAUCAAUUUCUGUUUGCACGCAAAUAGAGAUCAAAAGUUAAGAGGGUAGAACAAAAUGCAAAUUACAAGAAUAGCUAACAGAUUUAAGUUACAAAAAGAAUUUACUUAACCAUAAAUUAAUAUUUCCAAUAAAUUUAAAAGCUGCCGACUGAGCCAGGAUGAAACUCAAACUCAAUCGAUACCUACAGCUCUCAGGAUUAUUUCACAUGAAACUUUAAAAUGGAGGGUAAGCAAGAACCUAUCUGCGCCUCAGUUCCAUGAUAAUUGUUAAUUAAUGAUUUUUGUCAUCAAAACAUGUUUUCUGUAUUAGGAUGAAACUCAGAAAACAUUUUAACAGAGAUACCAUUAGAUACACAGUAAUUCAUUCUACAGCCCUCAAACAAAAGAAAGAGAAUUCAUUAAAUAAUUUAUAACAAAGAUAAGAAAGAAAAACAACAUCAACUACUCAUAAAAGAAAACUCCUUGACAACAGCUAAAACAACAUAAAACAGACAAGCUCCUCGACAAAAUCUCAACGUUUCUUGUCUGACAAACAAAAUCUCAAUAUUUCUUACCUCACUAGGACAAAGAUACUUCACCUUUAAAUCCAACGAAGUUGGCAUUAGCUUUUCACAGAUACUGGAAGGGCCCAGCAGAUUCAUAAAGCCAUAUAUGAUGUUCGAAAAUACUGAUUUUCUACAGAAGCUAAACGAAAAUAGAAACAACUACAGCUAAAGAUCAUAAAAGUUAACACUUCCUAACAAUCAAGCAACAAAUUAACAUUUCCAACUUGGCGUACCUGCUCCGCACUUGCCAUGGAACCAUGGCAUGAAAGCAGCAAAACUCUGCUUGGAUCCCCCAAAAGUGGAUGAGCCUGCAGCUGGUCCUUCACAGAAUUAAUGUCAUCCCACCCAGUCAUAAAAACCAACACAGCACCAGGCCUUUCAUUUCUACAAAUGUGACAAAGCACACGCUCAAUGAGGUUGAAGCCAAUUGAAUCAGGAUUCCAACAGGAUAGUGAAUCCCGAGUCAGAGGAUUAUACUGCCCAAAAUCAGCUGCUUCUAGCGCUUCCUGUUUCAAAGCUCAAGUUUCAAACAAAAUACAUAAUAUCGAUCCCAAUAUAACAGCACAGAGAUUCCAUACCUCAACAUCUGAAGCAAUUUGGGUCUUCCUCUUCCUAAUAGUCUGUUUCUGCAUUUUCCACAUCUUGUCUUGACCAUAAUUAUCAAUUUGAUUAUAUGGAGUUAACCGGUAUCUAGUCAUUUCCAAAAUAUUUUCCAGAAAAUGACUUCGAACUGGAUAAGUAAAACCCUGAUGAGAACAGAGAGAGAAAUUAGUCCCCCAAAAGGAACAAAAAGCAUUCUAUUUCUAGGAGGAUCAAGAACUCUAGAGCAGCUCAAAUACGAAGAUUGUGUCAUAAUCCUUUGGCCAUGCAAAUACAAAGGAUUCUAUAGUAUUGUUAAGUUGCAAAAUCCUAAAAUAAAUCAUGGAUAUAGUAACCUGAAUGAUCGUAAGAAAAGAAUGUUAUAAAUUAACACUGAGUGCAACUUCUUCAUUCCAUUUGUGUCUUAAAAUCAAGCAAGCAACCAACCAACUAAGCUUCAAUCCCAAAUUAGUCGAAGUCCGUUAUAUGAUGCUUCUUUAUCCAUUCUUUUCUUCUCCUUUUGGAAAAUCAAAACAAUUUUUGCCAAAUGCCAAGUCGGUUUAAAUGUAUUUUUACUAUAUUCAGGUCCAUUUCAUUCCAAUAGUAAAUAAUUUGUUUCAGGCAAAUUAGUACUUAUGUAAGAUAGAUAUUUUUCUAAAUUUCAUAUUAUUCCCAGACAAACAUAAAAGUCUCUAAUCAGAAUACAAAGAAUUCCUACAUAACUAGACCGUAAUUCCACCUAGACUGUGUCACAUAUAUAAAUCCUUUAUUCAUUAUGUUAAUAUUAUUAGAAGUCUACAUUGAUUCCAAAGUAUUCCAGGUUUCAGGAUGCAGCUUCCUUAAAUAUAAUUUUAGGUCUACCUAAUCUCUGUUUACCACAAUUCAUCAUCUUGGAUUAGUGCAUCUGAAGAUCCACUUAGAUAAGCAAAUAAUCUUAUGCAAUUUGUUGUUAGUGAUCAUUCACACUCUUGUCCAAUGGUGUAUGACCACGCAUCUAUCUGAAUAUUCACAUUUAUACAACUCUCAUGUUAUAGUCAUAUUGAGCCUACAAGGCCGAAUAACCCUAUGUAACAUUGAUGGUCACACAACUGUUCUAUAGAAUUUGUCCUUCACUAUGCAGGUAUCUUCCUAUAGCAUAGAAUGUCAAAGCACUCCUCCAUUCCAGCCAUCCUAUUUUUUUUCUACGUGUCACAACACCACAUAUACAGUCUAAGAGAAUAUCCUAGAAAACCAAUUCUAAGAAUUUAUCCUAUUCUCUUUAUAUCUUUUUCUUUUUCUUUUUGGCUGCAAAAAGGGUAUCAGGCUGUCAGCAUUUGAGCAGGUAUCACAUGAGUUAAAAGCCUGCAUCAUGGCAGACAAUGUUUUAAACCUUCAACUUACAGGAAUAUGGAUCAUUGGAGCACCACCAAAAUAGGAAGAGAAGAGCUCAGCAUUAAGUGUAGCACUCAUCAAAAUCAGCCUCAAUUCAGGUCGUCGGGGAAGGAGAUCUUUAAGGACAAUUAAAAGGAAAUCUGAAAGGAUAGACAAACUAUUGUCAGCAAAUUGAGGUACAAGAGUUUAGAAUAAAAAAAUAAAUGCAACAAUGCCAGGUGAGCAGAUACCUUCAUUCAUUCCACGCUCAUGAAUCUCAUCUACAAUAACGUGGGUGACACCUUCCAAUUUUCUAUCAACCAGUAAUCUCCUCAGAAGAAUACCAGUGGUGCAAAAUAAGAGGCGGGUAUCUCUCCCUCUCAUGCCCUCAAGCCGAACCUUAUAGCCCACCUACAAAAACGGAGAAAAUAACCAGAAAAAUACCAUUUUAUGAUCCCAUUGCAACACAUAUAUAAGAUAUAGAAAAAUCCAAAAACUCACAGAUUCUCCCAGAUUCUCCCCACGCUCUGCAGCAACUCUUUCAGCCACAGCCAUAGCAGAUAUCCUCCUUGGUUGAGUGCAAAUAAUAUUGCACGUAGCUCCAUGAGCAGCUUCUAUCUCAGCUUCUAAAAUAUACUGAGGCAAUUGGGUAGUCUUACCACACCCAGUUUCCCCAGAGACGACCACCACCUGCACAACUAAUUUCGGUCAGGACAUUCUUCAUGUGAACCAUUAUGCUAAUGAUAGGAAAGCAAGCGUCAAUUAGAUUAAAUUAUUCCUCAACACAUAAAUACUCUUCCACUCUAUUGAUAUUUUAAAAAAAAAAAGAACUAGACUAUCAGAUAGGCAGGUUAGCGCCCAUGUAGGAAUUUCUUUAUGGCUAUUUGCCUAUUUCCACUAUGCUACAAUGUCCACACAUAAAGUCACCACAAUUGUGCAUGAUUGUGAUUGAUUUAUUGGUCACUCAAAAUUGAAAGUGGAAGACUAAAAUCAAGCAAAAUAAGAAGUCUUUGAAGGAAGGCCUACUAUUAUUCCAUCUAAAAAUACAGCAACAGCCAAUCGAUACAAGCGAACAAGUCAACAGAAAUGCAAUAACCUGAUUCUCAGAAAUGGCUCUAAGCAAUGCCUCUCUCUCUUUAUAUGCAGGAAGAUUUCUUCGAAGUUCUCGCAUCUUCUGGCCUUCUGGAGAUUCCUACAAAAGAUGGCUGUCUGUCAAAUUGAUAUUUAGGAUACUGCACAAGGCAAGUUGUUUUGUUGCAGUACACAUUCAAGAGACAGCUUGAUAGUUACCUUUUACAAAAAAUUUACAAGUAUAUUACUGAUAACUUCAGAUCAAGCAUCCACUGGUAUACAGAUACCCACUUACCAUCAAAUAACUAAGAAUAAACUUCUAAAACCUUUGACAAAAGUAAAAUUACCUGCCAAAUAUCACGUAAACUUAAUUACCUUCAUCUAACUAUCAAGUGAACUUAAUUAAUUCAUUAAGAAGAAAAAUACAUCGACCAUCCAUUUUCUUCAGCACUAACUUUACAGAACCAAAUUUGCCGUAACAGUUGUUCACGGUUUGGUGUGGACUGCAUACACUUUACCUUCCCCAGACCCCACUUUGUGGGCAUACACUUAGUAUGUUGUUGUUGUAGUUGUUCACGGUUUGGUUAUUAUGUAUUUUGUCAUUUUUUGCUCUGUCCUUUUGUGAUAUAAAUUAUUGUGAAUUUGCACCCAGGGGUGUGGCCUAGUGGUUCAAUGGAGUUGGGUUGAGCAUCGUGAGGUCUCAGGUUCAAUUCCCAAACAAACAACACUAGGAGAUUUCUUCCCAUUUGUUCUAGCCAUGGUGGACAAAGUUACCUAGUACAUAGUGUUGGUGGGAGGUGGGAGGUGGCAGGUAUCGCGUGGAAUUAGUCAAGGUGCGCGAAAGCUGGCCCGGACACCACGGUUAUCAAAAAAAAAAAAAAAUUAUUGUGCAUUUUUGUUUUUACUUGUAGGAACGAAGAAAGGAUGGAGGACAGGGAAUCACAUUGAGCAUGGAGGAAUGUUUAAAGCAGGUAGAACUCAACCAGAAUGGUCCUUAAACUGAGGGUCUAUGAGAAACAACCUUUCUACCGCCCAACGUAAGGGUAAGGUCUAUGUACACACUACCCUCCCCAGGCCCCGCUUAUGGGAUUACACUUACACUGGUCAUCAAGCUCGACCAGAAUGGGAUAUAUUUAUGCAGUUCGCAUGUAUGGAAUACAAAAAUAGUCAUAAGACCACUUGAACCUCCCACUCCAAAUCAAUAAUUUAGAAUGAAUACCAUAAACAUGUGUAAUGGGUGCAACUGCAAAAGACCAAAGAAGUUAAAUGCUGUAAUGUGAAAGCAGUUCUGGAAGAACAGGAACCCUCUGGCCAUUUUAAAUGAGUCAAGAGAGUUUUGACUCUUUCGAGUAAUUCAACAUCCAAGAAGCAGUAAUGUGAUUUUACAAAAUGAUCAGCUAUCCCAAAAACACUUAAUACUUGGCAUAGAGACAUGGUAGUGAAAAAUAAAAAGCGGAAAUAUCUGGGAAGCAGCUGAAUUACAAUACAAGGCCAAGUCUCCUGGAAUAUGGUUGAAUUACUUUAUCCCUCUUAAUAAAGUUACCAUUUACCUCUUGAGGCUUCACUGGGAUCCAUUAAAGUGCCAAGCCAUUAGACAUUUUUUUAUGUUAACAACACCAAAAAUUUUCAAGGUUGCAAGAUCCAAACAUUUUGAAGAGAGAAGAAGAAGACAGAAGCCCAACAUGGUCCAACUGAAAGGAGAAAUAAGGUCUGAACAAGUACAACAUACAGAUAACAAUUGUGCACCAUGAGGCAAACAAAAAGCCUAGAAAUGAAACAAGUGUUAGUUGCAACAAUAUGGCAAAAGAUUGAAUAUUACCUCCCAAUCUUCUUGUUUGUUACGCAUCUCCAAGCUCCUUCGCUUGAGAAUUCUCUCCGCAACAACACUUCGAGCAAAUGGCUUCUCAUUCUCAUAAAGUUCUUUAUCAUUGGGAGAAUUGUUGCCAUUACUUCCUCUCAGUGAAGCAUUAUGUGCAAGGUUUUCCUUGUUUGUUGACUUUUUAGAAAGAUGUGCUUCAAGAAGAUCACCUACCCUACUUUGUAAUCCAUAAGGUAACACUACCUAAAAAAUCAAGCAAGAUGCAUCAAUUGAAGAACGUACUGAAAAAAGAAUGAUGCAUACAGAACAGACAGCCAGACAAAAAACUUCAUGUUAACUUAGUUACCUCUCUCUGUGGACGCUUAACAUCCAAAUCUGGCCUAUAAUUUGGCAAUGGCACUUUGCUACACACAACUGCUUUCUCAUACUGGCGGCUGCAUCAAAAUAUAUAAAUAUAUUAGGAUUUAAGCAACUCACAACAAAGUGAACAUAGAAAAAGAACUGAGCAUCCUUCUUUCUGACCAACCAUUGUCGGAAACUAAAGUAAAUGUUAAGGAAAUUUGAUAUACCAGUGUAAACCCAUUCUAGUUGCCACAGCUGAUAUAUGCUCAAAAUCACGGCGGUCCUUUUUUUCCCUUGAGACCACUUCUUGGUUAUCCUUUUUGCGCAUUAGCAUGCUUAACUUCCACCUCCAUUCUUCGAUGUUAUGAAGGGUAGAUUCACCCUAGAGUUGACAACAUAUGAAAGUGAGAAAGGAUAAGCUUUCUUUUUCUUUGAAAAGAAAAAAAUGUACGAGCUUUUAAAUUUAAAUGAACACAAGAAGACUUUUCCCAACUCAAAAACAACUGCCCAGUCUGAUAAGAUUACAGAGGAAUAUAAGUCCCCAAAAAUUACUCCUUCUGUUUCAAUUUGUGUGUCCUACACUCCUACUUUCCUUUUUAGUCUAUUUCAAAAAGAAAGUCUUUUCCCCUUUUUAGCAACUCUUUAAUUUCAGUUUUCUAUCUCGCAUGUUUAAGACCACAGGAAUAAAGAACAUUUUGAUACAUUCUGCUGCAUAUCUUAAUUAAAGACCACGAGAUUGAAAAGUCCUUUUUACUUUCUUAAACUCUGCGUAAAGUCAAAAUAGGGCAAUCAAAUUGAAACCAAGGGAGUAAAUGCUAACGGAAAAUGGUUGAAUCAAUGCCAACAGAACUGCAGAAGUAGCAGAUUUUGAAUUAGUCCAACCAAAUACACUUACCAAUUCUCCGCCCCGAACAUCAAGGUAGAAUUUUUUACUACCGUACUAGAACCCUAGAAACAAAAUGAAUGUUAAUUAAAAGUGGUAGCAGACUCACCAAUUGCUUAGACGACUCAGUAUCUCGAUCAGACUCAGAGUCAGACUCGCAUUCAUCAUAAGCAAACCGUCCAUACCCCAAAUUCUGCUGAUAAAAAUACGGAGAAGGAUAAGAAGAAGAAGAAGAGGAAGAAAGACCACGUCUUUUCCGCCUCAACACGACAGACGUCGACGAAGGGGCUUUAGCUGAACAAAAGAAUCCAAUACUUGGAUGAAGGCAACGUCUUUGAGGUAUUAGAAAAGGGUUAGUUCGAAAGUUGAAUUGAAGAGAAGUGGAAUACAUAGUGGCCAGAAAUUGGCUGGCCUUGAGCCUCACUUUGAGCAUGGCGAUGCUUAAGGAUUUAUGGUGAAAGACGCAUUGAUUAGUGGUUAGGGUUUAAGGAAGGGGAAUAAAAUGAGGAAUGGGUAGGAGGUGUCUGCAUAAUAGUCACACAAAGGGAAGGAGGUGUCUGCAGCAGCUGAGCAAGCAUUCUUGUAAUUGGCUGGUGAAAAUUUUUCAUAGUAAGGGGACUGUGUUUUCAUCUUGUGGGGACUUUUUUUUUCCCUUACUUAUUUAGUGUUCAAUUUUUGUAUCCUAAUUCGACCAGUUUAAAUUUUUGCUAUAUAAAAUUAUUAGAUCAAAAUGCUUUAUAUCAAGAAUAUUUUGCAAAUAUCUUUGGAGAUAUGUGUUAGAAGGUUGGUAAAUGUUUUAACUCUCUAUUCGUGAGUUACCAAUUAAGUUGAAGUCACACUAACGAUUGUUAUGAUUGAUUUAUAAAAUAUUUCUAUAAUUAUUUUUUCAUAAUAUAUGAAUCGACAUUUCAUAUCUAAUAAAUUCACCUCUAUUAUUCUUCACUUGAUAGAAACUACUCACUUGCAAGUUUCACAUAAUCAAAUGCACUAAGGGAUCGUUUGGUAGAGUGUAUUGGAAAGUUAAUACAUGCAUUAGCUUAAUGUGUAUUAGUAGUAUUUUAUUUGAUAUAUCAUUUUAUCCUAUGUAUAACUAAUACUCCAUUGCGUAUUGAGGCGUGUAUUACUAAUACCUUAAAAUUCAUAGCAUUAGUAAUGCAUGCAUUAACAUACUUAAAGAUACUACUAUCCCUCAAAAAAAUUCCACAUCAUUUUCAACAUAUAUAUUAAGAGUAUUAUAUAAAAAUAAAUAAAUAUUGAAAUUAUGUAACUCAUGUUAUUUUUAAUAUAUCGAACCAAACAUUGCAUAAGAAAAAUACAAGCAUAAUUAAUGCAAGUAUAACUAACACAAGCAUUGUUAAUACAAGUAUUAUUAAUACACCAUAUUUUGCAUUAUUCUUAUACACUAAACGACUCCGUAUGAAUAAGCAUAUUUAUAUAAACUUUUUUCCUUUACUCGUGAUCAAUUGAUGAGAGUAUCAUGAGUUCUUAAUUUCAUAUCAUAACAUAUUUUUCAGGCUAAAUACAUAUACAGGCUUCGUAACAAUUUCACUUUUUUCGUAUAGGCACCUCAAUUAAAACAGAUACUUAUUGAACCCUUUAUUCCUUUAUAAAAUUAUCAAUUGAACACAAUCGCUGAUGUGACAUAAUGCGUGCACUGCACUCAAUUUAAGAGCGUGAAACAUUAAAUUUUAGUUAGUUUUUUUUUUUAAUCUCUUUAUUUUUUUUAUUUUUCUUAAUUAUCUCAUUUCUCAUAUUUUUUAUUUUUAAAAAUACUUGCCCCUCAACUACUAUUCUUCUUCUUCAUUUCCCUUCUUCUUCAUUUUCUCGAACAAAUGUCACCAAAUCCUUCUUCUCUUUCCUUUACAUUUCAAGCUAUUCUUGAACAAGCAAUGCGUGAUGAAAAAGAAGCUGAUGUACCUAGUAAGCUUUUUGAACUUUUUUGUUUUGCUAAAGAGGAGAAAAUCCUUUAUCGAUUAAUGCUGCGACACUUCUUAUACGAUGCUUUGGACGAGCUAAAAUGCUCGAGGAAGCGGUAUCAGUGUAUAAAGAGCUUGAUUCAUAUUCAAGAAACACGAGUGUGAUUAAUUUGUUGUUAGAUUGUUUGCUUUGUGGAGGGAAUAUUGAUCGUGGGUUCAAGGUGUUCGAUGAAAUGCUUAAAAGGGAUAGUGAUGUUCCUCCGAACAAUACUACGGAUAUCGUUUUGUCUGCUAUGUGGAAAAGGAUUUGGGUUGAGAAAAUGAUGAGCGUGGAGGAAAUUUAUGAACUUCUUGUGAGAUUCUUUGAGCAUGGUGUUUUUUUGGAUGAUGUAUGAUUUACCAAAUUGAUUACCUAGUUUUGUCGAAGUGGGAAAUGCGAUAAGGCCUGACACUUUUUACAUGAUUUACAGGGUUGAUGAGGCAUUGCAGGUGUUUGAGCAGAUGAGAGGGAGUGAAACUGAUAGCGUUCUUGUUAAGCCAUUUUUCUCCUUUCUCAAUUGAAAGGGAAGAGGGAAAUGAGGUAUGUGUAUUUGGAAGAAGAAAAGUAAAGAAGGGAAAGGGGAAAUGAGGUCUGUGUAUUUGGAAGGAAAGAGGGGAAGUGGGGGGGGGGGGUGUGGGGGUGGUUAAUGUUCUUUUUUUUAAAUUUAAAUUUAAUUAUAUUAAAAAAUUAUUUUAAGUUAAAAUACCACGUGUCGUUGUUUGAUUUGUCAUUUUGCUACGUCAUUGGUGUGUGUAGUAUACACAUUUUACUUUUUUGGUCACGUCAAUAAAUUGGGCUCAAUUAAAACAAUUUGUGAAGGAGUAAGGGGUUUAAUAGGUACCUAACUUAAUUGAGAUGUCUAUACGAAAAAACUGAAAUAGUUCAGAAACAUAUAUUUAUAUAUAUAUUCCGUUUAUUUUUCAAAUACAAUAAAGUAAUAUUGUUAAAUACAUACAUUGAGUGCAAGUAAUUAUUUUAGCAUACAUAAACCUUUUAUAUUAUUUUGUACUCAACUAAAUUUGAAUUUAAUCCUGAAAAGUAAAGUUCUAUCUAACAAAAAGGACUUUAUAUUUAUAAUCCAAAAUUUAAUUAUAUAAAUACUCACCCCAUUCCAUCAAAACGAAUGGAUACCUGGUUAAAUCGUGGUGGGAACAGAAUAAAAAGAUUGAGCAAGGGUAGAAACGGAAUUAAAAAAAAAAAGAAAAAAUAUCAGUGAACCCUCUAGAAGGGUAAAAGCCCCAAAGCCUCCAACAAUUCUCUAUACUUCGCUAGGGUUUUGAAACACUUCUCAUUUUCCCACUCACUCGGAAUCAUCUCGAUCUCGUAUAUAUCUAGGGUUCCGUCAAUCCUGAUCUGAAAAUGGCAUCUCCGGCAGUAGUUUCUGCACCACGCGCCGCCGCAGCCGCCGCUUCAUCGUCCAAAACUGAAACCUUUGUCGACAACAAACGCAAAGAUGAUAUCCGCAUGGCAAACAUUGCCGCCGCUCAGGCGGUGGCUAACGCCGUCCGUACUAGUCUUGGACCUAAAGGAAUGGACAAAAUGAUCUCCACUGCUAACGGAGAGGUUAUUAUCACUAACGAUGGAGCAACAAUUUUGAACAAAAUGGAGGUUCUUCAACCUGCUGCUAAGUUUCUCGUUGAGUUAUCGAAAUCUCAAGACGUCGUCGCCGGAGAUGGAACUACUACCGUUGUUGUUAUUGCUGGUGCGUUGUUGAAACAGUGUCUUUCGCUUCUUUCUGCUGGCAUUCACCCAACUGUUGUUUCGGAUUCUCUGCACAAGGCGUCUACUAAGGCUGUUGAAGUUCUUACAGCUAUGGCUUUACCAGUUGAGCUUACCGACCGCGAUUCUCUUGUGAAAUCAGCAAGCACGGCGCUUAACAGUAAGGUAGUUUCUCAAUAUUCCACUCUUUUAGCUCCUUUAGCUGUUGAUUCCGUGCUUUCUGUUGUGGACCCUGAAAACCCAGAGAUUGUUGAUUUAAGGGAUAUUAGAGUUGUUAAGAAAUUGGGAGGUACUGUUGAUGAUACUGAGUUGGUUAAGGGUUUGGUUUUUGAUAAGAAGGUUAGUCAUGCCUCGGGGGGUUUGACACGAGUUGAGAAAGCUAAGAUUGGAGUGAUUCAGUUUCAGAUUUCCCCUCCUAAGACUGAUAUUGAGCAGAGCAUUGUGGUUUCUGAUUAUACUCAAAUGGACAGGAUUUUGAAAGAAGAGAGGAACUACAUUUUGGGCAUGAUUAAGAAGAUUAAAGCAACUGGUUGUAAUGUUUUGUUGAUUCAGAAGAGUAUUUUGAGGGAUGCUGUGACUGAAUUGUCUCUGCAUUAUUUGUCCAAGGCAAAAAUUAUGGUGAUUAAAGAUGUUGAGAGGGAUGAGAUUGAGUUCAUUACCAAGACAUUAAGCUCUCUGCCUAUUGCUAAUAUUGAUCAUUUCAGAGCAGAGAAACUUGGCCAUGCAGAUUUGGUUGAAGAGAUAUCUCUUGGGGAUGGUGGAAAGAUUGUGAAGAUCACAGGGAUUCAGAACAUGGGCAGGACCACUUCAGUGCUGGUUCGCGGGUCUAACCAGUUGGUCCUUGAUGAGGCUGAGAGGAGUUUGCAUGAUGCGUUGUGUGUGGUAAGAUGUUUGGUGAACAAGAGGUUUUUGAUUGCAGGUGGUGGGGCACCUGAGAUUGAGCUUUCUAGGCAGCUGGGUGCAUGGGCAAAGGUUUUACAGGGGAUGGAAGGGUACUGUGUGAGGUCAUUUGCUGAAGCCCUUGAAGUCAUUCCCUAUACUUUGGCUGAGAAUGCUGGGUUGAACCCAAUUGCAAUCGUGACUGAGUUGAGGAACAGGCACGCUCAGGGCGAGAUCAACACAGGGAUCAAUGUGAGGAAGGGGCAGAUCACUAACAUUUUGGAGGAGAAUGUGGUGCAACCAUUGCUGGUGAGCACAAGUGCAAUUACCUUGGCUACUGAAUGCGUACGGAUGAUUUUGAAGAUUGAUGAUAUUGUUACAGUGAGGUAGAGUGAUGUCAUGUGAAAUCGCAGAAAACUUAGAAGUGUUUUGUCAUAUCUUUGAUUUUCAAUUUGUGUGCUUCAAGAAUUAGUGGUCCUCUGGUUCUUCUCUAUUUCGGAUUAUAUGCUGAAUUUUCACUUUUUCGUAGCUAAUUUUUACUCGUGCAGUUUUCCGUUUCACUUGUUAAGUGCACGACACUUCUUCAUUUUGAUUGAUUGACAUGAUGCAGUAUGUAAUAUGUGGAUCACUAUCAGUUUAUCAAUAUUUUCGUCCAGCAAUUUAUGUUCCAAUUAGUUAUCAAAUGGUGCUUCCUGUUUUCACUUUUAUCUAAAUCAUGUGCUUCUUGCCCUUUGCUGUCUUAUGAUCUACCAAGAGAGCUUGUGAUCUCUUUUAUGUUGGUGUGUGCUGACAAGUGUUCUCAGGCACUAUCUACUUAUUUGCCCAUGGGAAAAUUGUGAGUCUGGUCCAGUUUUGAUAUCUAAUUUCACAUUACAUAUUUAUAUGCUAAGAUUUAGUUGGAGCAAGAUCACCCUGAGCCUAGUCUACUCAGUUCACUUAUGUAUGAAGAAUCUGUGUUCUGUAGCCACUGACAAUUGAGGUAUGGUAAUAGUGGUGUAAGCCCAACUAAUAUUACAUUGUUAAAGUUGUGAGAUGUCAGCUGCGAUCUAUCAGGUUUUUCCUCUGACUGGGUUUUGAAAUGAAAGGAUUCUGUUUAGUGUCAGAUUCUUUAGUUGUUUCUCCAAUUCCCAAUUGAGAUCAAGAAUUGUUAGCAUCUUUAGAGUAGGACUUCAGUGGGAUUCAGCUGGAUGAGGUUUAGGUUUUAUCUAUUUACAGAUGAAGAUUAAAGUUCACAGUUUCCAUCAUUAUCAAGCUGAAUAUUCAUUCUCACCUACAACUAAUAUGCCCACGAUUCCCAAUGAAAUCUAUGACAGAAACCUCAGGUUACUCAUUGUCUUGAAAUAAGUGUUGAAUUUUCAUUUUAAACUUUUUUCCGUGCUUAUGUUUGGAGGGCAAAUGCUGAGGCACUUUGGUUUUGCUGUGUUGAUCAGUUCUAUAGCCAGCUUUUACCUGAAAGCUGCGUGGUAACUAGGACUUCUUUAGUCUGACCGGCUCAGCACACUCAACUUUGAGUCCUUUGGGUCAUUCAUUGUAUUAGUUGUUAAUGGACCGUGCAAACUUCAUCUUCCCAUAAAAGCAGAUUUGCAUGGCAAGAUAGUUGGGAAUGGUCAAGAGUUUGCUCGAAAACCAUUUUUGAAGUAGUACGCUACCUUUUCUUUAGGUGUUUUUUUCAUCAUAGUGUCUAGGCCAACUUGCAGGCACCUCUACUUUUCUGCCCAGUUCGUGCUAACCUCAAGUGUUCUAUGAGGUGCUCUAUAAUGCUACGAGAAUAUGGUUACCACAUCAUAGACUGGGUCCUCUUCAAGUAGGCCAGUUAGUCUGCUCUUUCUGAAAGAUUGGCUAUACUUUAAGAAUGUGUGUCAAGAACAUGCACAUUUAGGCUUUCAAUACAUAAAAUGAAUCCUUUUAGGGUUUAUAGUAUAUAUUAUGUUUUUUACCUUGUUUCACUUAAAUUUGAAGUAGCGGGAUUGUGUUUGAUAUGUCAUCUGAACUCUGAAGUUGUCACGACCCGAUUUCUUAAGUUGUGAUGGCGCCUACCUUAUCCCCAGUAGGCAAGCCAAGCCAUGGCCCAGAAUAAUAGAUAACGGGCUAAUAGGCAGAAAUCAGAAAAGAUCGCGUAUAAUGAUAACAAUAUUAAUAACAAGCAGCAAACAGAAAGGAAACAUAUGUCAUAUAUUAAAACGAGGGAAGGAAAAGGAUCAAACACACAAACGAAUUCCUUCCAAAACUUGGUAAGGUCGGUACUAGAGCCAAUACUAAAAUAUAUCCAGAGUACUAAACAGAGUCCAAAAUAUAUACCCAAUAUAUAUAAGCAAUCUCGAGUACAAAAGACUAAACUAGAGUAGAUAGAGGUGGUGGGGCACCUGAGAUUGAGCUUUCUAGGCAGCUGGGUGCAUGGGCAAAGGUUUUACAGGGGAUGGAAGGGUACUGUGUGAGGUCAUUUGCUGAAGCCCUUGAAGUCAUUCCCUAUACUUUGGCUGAGAAUGCUGGGUUGAACCCAAUUGCAAUCGUGACUGAGUUGAGGAACAGGCACGCUCAGGGCGAGAUCAACACAGGGAUCAAUGUGAGGAAGGGGCAGAUCACUAACAUUUUGGAGGAGAAUGUGGUGCAACCAUUGCUGGUGAGCACAAGUGCAAUUACCUUGGCUACUGAAUGCGUACGGAUGAUUUUGAAGAUUGAUGAUAUUGUUACAGUGAGGUAGAGUGAUGUCAUGUGAAAUCGCAGAAAACUUAGAAGUGUUUUGUCAUAUCUUUGAUUUUCAAUUUGUGUGCUUCAAGAAUUAGUGGUCCUCUGGUUCUUCUCUAUUUCGGAUUAUAUGCUGAAUUUUCACUUUUUCGUAGCUAAUUUUUACUCGUGCAGUUUUCCGUUUCACUUGUUAAGUGCACGACACUUCUUCAUUUUGAUUGAUUGACAUGAUGCAGUAUGUAAUAUGUGGAUCACUAUCAGUUUAUCAAUAUUUUCGUCCAGCAAUUUAUGUUCCAAUUAGUUAUCAAAUGGUGCUUCCUGUUUUCACUUUUAUCUAAAUCAUGUGCUUCUUGCCCUUUGCUGUCUUAUGAUCUACCAAGAGAGCUUGUGAUCUCUUUUAUGUUGGUGUGUGCUGACAAGUGUUCUCAGGCACUAUCUACUUAUUUGCCCAUGGGAAAAUUGUGAGUCUGGUCCAGUUUUGAUAUCUAAUUUCACAUUACAUAUUUAUAUGCUAAGAUUUAGUUGGAGCAAGAUCACCCUGAGCCUAGUCUACUCAGUUCACUUAUGUAUGAAGAAUCUGUGUUCUGUAGCCACUGACAAUUGAGGUAUGGUAAUAGUGGUGUAAGCCCAACUAAUAUUACAUUGUUAAAGUUGUGAGAUGUCAGCUGCGAUCUAUCAGGUUUUUCCUCUGACUGGGUUUUGAAAUGAAAGGAUUCUGUUUAGUGUCAGAUUCUUUAGUUGUUUCUCCAAUUCCCAAUUGAGAUCAAGAAUUGUUAGCAUCUUUAGAGUAGGACUUCAGUGGGAUUCAGCUGGAUGAGGUUUAGGUUUUAUCUAUUUACAGAUGAAGAUUAAAGUUCACAGUUUCCAUCAUUAUCAAGCUGAAUAUUCAUUCUCACCUACAACUAAUAUGCCCACGAUUCCCAAUGAAAUCUAUGACAGAAACCUCAGGUUACUCAUUGUCUUGAAAUAAGUGUUGAAUUUUCAUUUUAAACUUUUUUCCGUGCUUAUGUUUGGAGGGCAAAUGCUGAGGCACUUUGGUUUUGCUGUGUUGAUCAGUUCUAUAGCCAGCUUUUACCUGAAAGCUGCGUGGUAACUAGGACUUCUUUAGUCUGACCGGCUCAGCACACUCAACUUUGAGUCCUUUGGGUCAUUCAUUGUAUUAGUUGUUAAUGGACCGUGCAAACUUCAUCUUCCCAUAAAAGCAGAUUUGCAUGGCAAGAUAGUUGGGAAUGGUCAAGAGUUUGCUCGAAAACCAUUUUUGAAGUAGUACGCUACCUUUUCUUUAGGUGUUUUUUUCAUCAUAGUGUCUAGGCCAACUUGCAGGCACCUCUACUUUUCUGCCCAGUUCGUGCUAACCUCAAGUGUUCUAUGAGGUGCUCUAUAAUGCUACGAGAAUAUGGUUACCACAUCAUAGACUGGGUCCUCUUCAAGUAGGCCAGUUAGUCUGCUCUUUCUGAAAGAUUGGCUAUACUUUAAGAAUGUGUGUCAAGAACAUGCACAUUUAGGCUUUCAAUACAUAAAAUGAAUCCUUUUAGGGUUUAUAGUAUAUAUUAUGUUUUUUACCUUGUUUCACUUAAAUUUGAAGUAGCGGGAUUGUGUUUGAUAUGUCAUCUGAACUCUGAAGUUGUCACGACCCCGAUUUCUAAGUUGUGAUGGCGCCUACCUUAUCCCCAGUAGGCAAGCCAAGCCAUGGCCCAGAAUAAUAGAUAACGGGCUAAUAGGCAGAAAUCAGAAAAGAUCGCGUAUAAUGAUAACAAUAUUAAUAACAAGCAGCAAACAGAAAGGAAACAUAUGUCAUAUAUUAAAACGAGGGAAGGAAAAGGAUCAAACACACAAACGAAUUCCUUCCAAAACUUGGUAAGGUCGGUACUAGAGCCAAUACUAAAAUAUAUCCAGAGUACUAAACAGAGUCCAAAAUAUAUACCCAAUAUAUAUAAGCAAUCUCGAGUACAAAAGACUAAACUAGAGUAGAUAGAUGAGGAUCAACCUCGGACGACAGUAAGCUCACCUUGCUUCGAAUUAGUACUGGAAGGUAGGAAUUACGUCAAUGUCGGCUGUUACUACUCGGAUCUGCAUCAGGGAAAAGAUGCAAAAGUGUAGUAUGAGUACUAAAGCAACGGGUACUCAAUAGGCAUCAUCGGCCGACUGAGCUCAAUACAAAAAUGUAUAACUACAAUGCGAGGGCGUAGUUUGAGUCAUUAGUAAAUAGGGAUGGAAAAGUAAACAACUACAAGCUACACAAACGUUGUAAAGGAAUAAAUAUAAGCGAUACAGAAAAUAAAUAAUGCAGUAAUAACAGACAAAUCAAACAUAAUCUAACUGGGCCCCUAUAAGCCCGCCAGACAUACUGAAGAAGACAAUUAACCCAACCGCACCCUCAUAAGUCGGUGGGACACACAAUAAGUAAUGAAAAUAAACAUAAAUAAUCUGUAACUGAGCUGAUCUUAAGAAAUCAUGAUUGUCAUCCAGAUGUGCACCGGAAUUGAACCAACACUAAUGGGUAGUAAUGAGAGGCCAGAUAUCGGUAGUGAUGGAUAAUAACAAGAGAACACGUACCGGAUUCGAAUCAAACAUAGUGGGUAAUAAUGAGAGGCCACAUAUAUAGAACCCAUAAUAGCAAUAAUAAUCAAAUGCCAGACUCGAACCGGAACUCAUAGUAAUCAUAAUAAUCAAAUGCCGGACUCGAACAUAGUAACCAUAAUAAUCAAAUGUCGGAUUCGAACCAGAACUCAUAGUAACCAUACCCAUCUAUAAUAUCAAAAUCCAUACCAUUCCAUAACAAUGUCAAUGUAGUAUAAAAGUUCACAAUCAAUGACAGAAAUAAAAUAUAUACUGAACCUGAACAGAAGCUAAAAUACGUCUAAUUGUCGUAUGCAUGUCAUAAUUUUAAAAGGGUAAAUUCAAGGUUUUGCAAUUUAAUUUCACGUCCUUAAGUGAUAGAUGCUAUAUUGUAUCGAAAGACAAAAUACCAAAAUCUACUAGAACGGGGUCCUAAUCCGGAUAAAUAAGUCAGGUUAUAUAUCUAUCUAAUAAUACGCAACUACAAGCACUUAUCCAAAACUAACAUAAUAGUUCACAAUUUUAGUAUAUAAGCUCAAUCUAAAGGUAGGACAAGUUUAGCCUACGUGGACGCCAAAACUAAAAAUUCCUCCGAAAAACCUCUGAAUGAUGCCCCACUAAAACCCGAACUUAAUUUACCAUCUCCGCAUAAAACAUUAACAUACUAUAAGAAGUUAUUAUAAAGUAAUAUACACAUAUCAUAAUUAACGAACUUUUAUAAGGUUAAAAAUAUUCUAGAAGGGUAAUAGAUUAUUUUUCUACCAAAUGCCAAUCUAAAUUAAAUGAUCCACAAUAUAUUAGAUAUUACUAAAAUUUUUAAACGACCCGCCUAGGAAUCGAACUAUCAGUCCCAACAAGUCAUAAAUAACUUGGGCCAUUUAUAAAAAGCUCUGCAUAUCGAAAACGUGUUAAAAUACAUAAAAAUGACCGUGAGUGUCAUUACAACAUUCACUACUAAAACGACUUUCGUCCACGAAAGUAAAAGAUAAGAAAAUACCUGAAGGCUCAAACAAAUAGGGAUGCUGGCGUGCAAAUCACGCUUGGGAGAAAGGCCAGGUAGGUCGGCCUGAAACACAUCAGGAAACUCGCAAACCACAGGCACGGAGUCACGCAAUAGACUCUCAACACUAACAUCCCGAACAUAUGCAAGAAAUGACUCACAACCUCUCGAUAUCAGUCUCAUACCCCGAAUGUACGAAAUAAUUUCCAUCGGUGCACGACUAAUCGAACCCUGCUACACAACUGGGGGUACGCCAGACAAGGCUAAAGUAACGGUCUUAGCAAAACAAUCCAAGAUCGCAUGGUAAGGAGAUAGCCAAUCUAUGCCUAGAAUCACAUCAAAAUCUACCAUAUCUAGGACAAUGAGGUCAACCUGAGUAUCAAACUCCCGAAUAAUCACCAAACACGAUCUAUAUACCCGAUCCACUACUAAAGAAUUACUCAGAGGGAUGACUAUAUGCAAUAGCACAAAUAAAGACUCUGAACAUAAACCCAAUCGCGAUGCAAAAUAAGCAGAAGCAUAUGAAAAUGUGGAACCGGGAUCAAACAAAGCAAAAGUUGGCCGAUGGCAUACGAAAAUCGUACCUGUGAUCAUAACAUUCGAAGCCUCAGCCCCUGAUCUAUCUGGCAGAGCAUACAAAUGACCCUGUCCACUACUGGACUGGGUGCCUGUCCGACCACCUAUCUUACCUCCCUGCAAACUACCUCUAGAACCCUGGGGACCAUCUCCACGACUCUGCGCAUCACCCCUACCUAACGGCGGCAUUGACCUAAUCAGCUGUGCAGUCAAAACUGAAGGCUCAAUCAUCCUACGUUGAGGACACUCACGGGCUAAUGACCAACAACCCCGCAGUCAUAACAUGCCUCGGGCACCCUACUAUGUCUGAAAGAUCCAGCGGAUCCGGAAUGGACACCCUGGUUUGACGAUCCUGACUGAACACCCCUCUGUGACUGGCUGCUGCUCUGACUACUGGAACUACUAAAAUCGAAAUGACCCCAAUCUGAUAUCUAAAGGGAUGCCUAAAUUGGCCGACGAGGCUGACCCUGAUGCUGAGAAGGCUGCUGCUGAGGGUACCUACCAUGAAAUCCUCGGCCUGAACUAUUGUAGCUGCCCUGGUAACAUGGUCUCUUAUCGCUACACCCUUGGGCCUCAUGAUUCAUCUCUUCUAUAGAAUAAACAUGCUCAACUAUCUCAGAAAAAGACUUCCCCGAAGUCACCAAACUCUGUGUAGCCCUACGAAGUGAUAGUCUCAAUCCCCUGACGAAGCAUCAAAUCCGCCCAUACUCCGUAGGCAAAAUCAUAGUGGCGUGUCUGGCUAACUCAUAGAAUCUCGCCUCAUACUCAGCCAUAGAUAUAGAACCCUGUUUCAAUGCUGUAAACUCAUCUCGACGACGCUCGCGUAUGCUGCGUGGCAUUUACUUCCCUAAGAAAACCUCAGAGAACUGAGUCCAAGUCACUGGUGGAGAUCCAACUGACUUGGAAUCAAGAUAACCUUUCCACCGCCCCCUCACUACCGUGUCGAACUAAUAAGCAAUAAAGUCCACUCCUGGAGCCUCAACCAAACCCAAAUUCCGCAACCGCUCCUCGCAACUGGAUAAGAACUCAUUAGCAUCCUCCCUUGGUGUCCCGGUAAACCUGGGUGGAGUCAAUCUGAAAAAUCGGCCCAACAUCUUUUGCUCCUUUGAAGACAUAACUGGCUGGGCUACUGCCGACUGUGGGACUACUGGUGCUGGUGGAACCACCACCCUAGGCGCCACUGCCGCAGGUUGUGCUCCUAAAUUAACUCUACUCUGUACUGCUGGCUGAGCUCCCUCGGUCGGUGGACCACCAACUAACCUCGAUAACUGUACCAACUCAUCUCGAAGGAUCGAAGAAGAUAUAAAAUCGGGUGGAUCCUGGGCUACCCCCUGGCCCACCUACUGCUGCGGCGGAAAACUUGGAGCGCUCUCAGUCUCUGGAGCUAUGACAGGACCAGAUGAUGAAUCCCUGGCCUGAUCUCGAACUGGGGCUGCUGUUCUGUCCUACCCCCGACCUUUGGGUCGACCUCUACCCCAAGCUGGAACUCUAGCAGUGGGCUCGGGGUCUGAAUCCCCAGCUCUCAAACCUCGCGUCCUAGCCAUCUGUGUAAAGAGUGUACCAAUAAAAAUUACAACCAGCUCAGACCCAACGCACGAAAAUGGAUCAAGAAAAAUGAGAUUUUUCCUCGAAAUGCUCUGUAACCUCCUAAGGAUAGGAUACAGACGUCUUCGUACCGAUUUGCGAGACUCUACUAAACAUCAACUCCAAUACUAACAAUACUAGUGAGACCUAAGCUUUGAUACUAAGUUGUCACGACCCGAUUUCUCAAGUCGUGAUGGCGCCUACCUUAUCCCCCAGUAGGCAAGCCAUGCCAUAGCCUGGAAUAAUAGGUAACGGGCUAAUAGACAGAAAUAAAAAAAGAUUGCAUAUAAUGAUAACAAUAGUAAUAACAAGUAACAAACAGAAAGGAAACAUAUAUCAGAUAUUAAAACGAGGGAAGAAAAAUGACCAAACACACAAAUGAAUCCCUCCUAAGACCUGAUAAGGUCGGUAUUAGAGCCAAUACUAAAAUAUAUCCAAAGUACUAGACAGAGUCCAAAAUAUAUACCCAAUAUAUAUAUAAACAGUCUCGAGUACAAAAGACUAAACUAGAGUGGAUAGAGGGGGAUUAACCUUGGACGAUAGUAAGCUCACCCUGCUCUAAAUCAGUACUGGAAGGUAGGAAUCGCGUCAAUGUCGCCUGCUACUACUCGGAUCUGCAUCAGGAAAAAGAUGCAGAAGUGUAGUAUGAGUACCAAAGCAACAGGUACUCAGUUGGCAUCAGUGGCCGUUGGCUUUGGACAUCCAAUCCUUAGCUAACAUCAUGGUUUGUUUGGAUAUUUCUGACCCUCGGGGAAUCAUUGCUAGUGUUGAGGCCAGAUCUACCUUGUUGGAGCAGAUUCGAGCUCGUCAGUUCGAGGAUAGCAGGCUUCGUAGCACUCGUGGGCAGGUGUUGAGGGGUGAGUCUCAGCGGGCUACUCUAGAUUCUGAGGGUGUGAUACACUACAAACUUGGAAAGUACCGAAAUCAGCCAACAACAAACUAGUUUUAACAACACAACCCAAGAACUAGUGGAAACAAGCCCUAAAACGUGAAGAACACAAGAUUAACGAGUUGACAAAGAUGUAACAAUACGAAAACAGUGGCUACACGAGAUGAACAACAAUAUAACAAUAACAAUAACCAACGGCCUAAAAGAAUAGAGAGACACGACCUAAAAGUCCUACCUCAAAGAGACUUAUGCCAUCAUUUUCAACAUUUCCAUAUGCAUGAUUUCUAUGAACAAAACAACUAGUAAGGCUUUUACCACACAAGAUGUUCAAAGAGUCACGUGCACCAUCAAGAUCAACUCUAUAAACACUAUCACUAACUUAGAUUUUUCAAGCACACCACACACAUGCUCAAGUAGUGGAAUACAUUCAUGAGCAAGUUGAUCUUCAUUCACAUCUUCACUAGUUGUUGGCAAAUCACAUACCAACGUAGACUCACCUUGGUUCACACAAGGGUCAACUAGUGUGUGAAUACCCUCGUUAAUUGGUAAUGAAGCCUUACUCGAGUUAUAAGGGCUAGUACUAGAUGGACACAAAUUAUUCUUGAAAGAAGAAUCAAUUUCGUCAUCUAAAGGAUCAACUAGUGCUUGUGUACUUACAACAAGUGUUUGAUCCUCCCGCGACCUAACAUCACUAAGAGUAUUACAAAGGACGACUCAAAGACUUUUACUUUAGGUAAAUCCGCAACUACACCCUUUUGGCUGUUACUAGCCACACCACAACAAUCGACAUUUAUGGUAAUGUAGGAAGUAGUGCUUUUACCUUGGUGUGGGUCGGGGCAGCCCAUCUCUUCCUUCGGGAAGCUCUCAUCGCAAGGUGUUUGGUCCUUACGUUUUGGAUUUG